This 451-nucleotide ribosomal RNA is filed under the name uncultured delta proteobacterium. RNAcentral describes it as "bacterial SSU rRNA". It matches the Rfam family "Bacterial small subunit ribosomal RNA", at positions 9 to 426 of the family's 1533-position model. Lineage: Bacteria; Deltaproteobacteria. The record is from RNAcentral.
GAGUUUGAUCCUGGCUCAGAACGAACGCUGGCGGCGUGCCUAACACAUGCAAGUCGUACGCGAAAAGCCUAGGGUAGUAGCGUGGUAGAGGUGGCGACACGGGUGGAGUAACACCGUAAAGUGACCGUAAGUCCGAGUAAGCACUGGGAUAAACCGUUCCGAAAGGAUGGCUAACUACUUGGAGUAAAGCCCUACGACCUUCGGGUUGAGGAAAAUGAUUGGGACCUUUCGAGGCCAAUCGGCAAUGGAGGGAUUUGCGGCCCAUCAGGUAGUUGGCGGGGUAACGGCCCACCAAGCCUAAGACGGGUAGCUGGUCUGAGAGGAUGAUCAGCCACACUGGAACUGAGACACGGUCCAGACUCCCUACGGGAGGCAGCAGUGGGGAAUCUUGCGCAAUGGACGAAAGUCUGACGCAGCAACGCCGCGUGGGUGAUGAAGGUCUUCGGAUCGU